This 319-nucleotide ribosomal RNA is filed under the name Acanthamoeba castellanii. RNAcentral describes it as "SSU rRNA". It matches the Rfam family "Eukaryotic small subunit ribosomal RNA", at positions 795 to 1101 of the family's 1831-position model. The record is from RNAcentral. Lineage: Eukaryota; Discosea; Longamoebia; Acanthamoebidae.
CCGAAUACAUUAGNAUGGGAUAAUGGAAUAGGACCCUGUCCNCNUAUUUUCAGUUGGUUUUGGCAGCGCGAGGACUAGGGUAAUGAUUAAUAGGGAUAGUUGGGGGCAUUAAUAUUUAAUUGUCAGAGGUGAAAUUCUUGGAUUUAUGAAAGAUUAACUUCUGCGAAAGCAUCUGCCAAGGAUGUUUUCAUUAAUCAAGAACGAAAGUUAGGGGAUCGAAGACGAUCAGAUACCGUCGUAGUCUUAACCAUAAACGAUGCCGACCAGCGAUUAGGAGACGUUGAAUACAAAACACCACCAUCGGUUGCGGUCNUCCUUG